This 481-nucleotide ribosomal RNA is filed under the name uncultured bacterium. RNAcentral's name for it is "bacterial SSU rRNA". It matches the Rfam family "Bacterial small subunit ribosomal RNA", at positions 501 to 985 of the family's 1533-position model. The record is from RNAcentral.
CUACGUGCCAGCAGCCGCGGUAAUACGGAAGGUCCGGGCGUUAUCCGGAAUUAUUGGGUUUAAAGGGAGCGCAGGCGGGAGUGUAAGUCAGCUGUUAAAUAUCAGGGCCCAACUCUGUUAUGCAGUUGAAACUAUAUUUCUUGAGUACGCACAGGGAUGGCGGAAUUCAGGGUGUAGCGGUGAAAUGCUUAGAUAUCCUGAAGAACUCCGAUCGCGAAGGCAGCCAUCCGGAGCGUAACUGACGCUGAGGCUCGAAGGUGCGGGUAUCAAACAGGAUUAGAUACCCUGGUAGUCCACGCAGUAAACGAUGAUAACUGGGCGUAUGCGAUAUACAGUAUGCUCCUAAGCGAAAGCGUUAAGUUAUCCACCUGGGGAGUACGCCGGCAACGGUGAAACUCAAAGGAAUUGACGGGGGCCCGCACAAGCGGAGGAACAUGUGGUUUAAUUCGAUGAUACGCGAGGAACCUUACCCGGGAUUGAA